RNAcentral lists this ribosomal RNA (244 nucleotides) under uncultured Glomus. RNAcentral's name for it is "partial 18S ribosomal RNA". It matches the Rfam family "Eukaryotic small subunit ribosomal RNA", at positions 643 to 885 of the family's 1831-position model. Lineage: Eukaryota; Fungi; Glomeromycota; Glomeromycetes; Glomerales; Glomeraceae. The record is from RNAcentral.
GGAUUGACGUGAUGGUCGUGCCUUACGGGGUAUGAACUGUUGCUGUUGAUUUCUCACCUUCUGGAGAAACUUGAUGUCCUUAAUUGGGUGUCUUGCGGAUCCAGGACCUUUACCUUGAAAAAAUUAGAGUGUUUAAAGCAGGCAUUUUUGCUCGAAUACAUUAGCAUGGAAUAAUAGAAUAGGACGGCAUGGUUCUAUUUUGUUGGUUUCUAGGAUCACCGUAAUGAUUAAUAGGGAUAGUUGG